Molecule: long non-coding RNA, 158 nt
Organism: Sinocyclocheilus rhinocerous
Lineage: Eukaryota; Metazoa; Chordata; Actinopteri; Cypriniformes; Cyprinidae
Exons: 3
Source: RefSeq, a predicted model, not a curated record
UUUUUCUUUGCUCAACAGGCUGUUUUCACAUUGAGAAUGUUUUCAGUUGUGGAAUUCACCUCAGAUCACAGUGUAGCUGUAAUUCCUGAUGCAUGGAAAGAAAAAUUAGACCAGGACAUCUAUUGCUACUGGCCACCCAACAAUGUCCAAAGUUUAUU